UUUGAUAUGUAUCGAGAUAAUGCCAGCCUAUUCUCUUCUACAAUAGUUUUAAAGCCACCGGCAGAUUGCCACAACUUAGCUUAAUGUCUUAGUUGUGAAUCAGAUAUCAGACAUACUUUUUGUUAAUGAUAGCGAGGAUGUAUAUGAAACGACAUAUGAUUUUGGAGACAAUAUGGAGGAUUACCGUGUUACCAGUAACUUAUUAGGUAAAGAUAUUAUGUGUAGUAUACCGAUGACAUAAUAUCUUUAACUCAUUUAAAUUUACUUUUAUUGUCCUCCUGUCUUAUUUAUGUGUCGAGGCAUGUACCUAUUGUUUUAUAUAUGUAGACCAUUUUAUGUGCGUAGCUGAUUUGGAUAUUUAUAGUGGUAAUAUAAAGAAUGACUCUGUAUAGUGUAUAUAAAAUCAUAUACUGUGAGAAAUUUAGUUGAGUGAAGAAAAAGGAAAAAACGUAUACGUAAAUUUUCUUUUAAUAAAAUUCUUGGUGUGGCAUUGAACACCAUGAUAUUGAAUGGGGCUUUGGCUACUAGAUCCCAAGAAGAAGAAAAAUUAACUAGAGUUGUGGCGGAGAAGUUAUUUAUAUAUACGUCAAAAAUGGUCUUUUAUUUUUGAUAUUCAUCGAUAAUUUACAGCACGAUAGAUAUUGCUACAAUGUAAAAUAUAUUAAAUUGCCUAAAGGAAAAUAUAUUUACCUUUUUUAACUUCAUGUGUUGUUUUAUUUUGUUCUUAAAAUCCCUUAUUUAGUUAAACUAUAUUGAUUUAUUUUGGAAGUGUGUUUAUGACAAGAAUUGCAUAUUUCUUAACACCUAACCUUUUAGUUCUCAUUUUUUAUGAGCAGAUUCCUAGAUAUUGCUCAUAAUGCAUUGGCCAUUAAUUUUAUUUUAUUUUCCUUUCCCUUGUCCACCUUUUACUUUUUCUCUAGGAGUUCUUGUGUGGAUGAUCUUUUAUCAAAGUUGGAUUCUCUUUUUCAUGCAGGUGGUUGGAACAUUGUCCUUAUUGCUUGCUCAAUCUCCCAAGCUACACAAAUACUGGUCUUACACUUGCUCACCGUAUUUAUUAUAGUUGGUAAAUAUCUUAAUUAUGAUAUUUACUUGCUUUUGUUUGCCCUCUAACAUACUAUUGAUAUGCCUAUUACUUCUGUUGAGUUCAAAAUUGAGUAGUGUGCAGUUAAUAGUAGUAAUCACAAUAAAACAGUCAUAUAUUCUUCGACGGAGAUAUAAUUUCUAAAUUUUACUGUUGUAAAUACAUAAAAAGUUAUGGUGACCAUGAGUUUUUUUAUUUUUUUAUAUUUUGUUGUUUAUAUGUGUAUCAUUUUCUCAUUUUAUGACUUAUGAUCUUUAACUAUGUUUCUCUUCAUAGUUUGAGCGUAUAAUCAUAGUUACUUCAUCGUAGAUGAUCUCUUCAUCAAAUUACUUAGGUUUUUCUUUCAAGCGUUCUUCUUUUCUGAUCUUCAGCUUAGGCUUUGUUUGUAGAGUGAAGAAAUAUAUGUACUCUCUGGCAAUUAGGGGAAUUGCAUUUGCUUCGCUUCAUCGGAACGACAUAUAAUUUCAUAAAUUCUACUUACAGUCUUUAGAGACUAGAGUUAUAAUUUGCUUCAAUUUGAUCAAGUAAAAUUUAUUCCCUUUGGUGGAUUAAAAUUUUAUAAUCUUUAUUCAAUAAAUUUAUAUUUAUUACUGGAAAAAUAUUAUAAGGUGUAAUUACCUUAUAAGAGAAUAGACUCCCAGACUUGCCAUUAUGAAAAUUUAACUUUUUUAAGUACUGUUUUAUUUCUCCUCCCUCCUAUUUAAAGUCCUUUUUGUAAGAAGUUUUUUUUUCCCUCUCUAAUGCUUGCAUUGUAAUUUAUGUUUAUGUUCAGAAUCUCAUGAUUCUAUUCCUUAUAUUUGUGUUACUUAAAUAUUUAAUAAUAAAAAAAAAAUCUCAUAGCAUAUAUUAUUAGCUUCUUUAAUAUUUUAAUUCCUGAGUUUUCACUACUAAGGUUUUCCUCCUCCAAUUUCUUCGCCCUUCUCUCUUUAGAGAUUUUGUCGGUUCAUUACUUUAGUAUUUUUCUGUUGUCUUUGAAUUUCUUUUUAGGAUGGUGGACAGCGGGAUCGAUCUCUCAUUCGUGAUACUUAUCCGUUCAAAGUGUGAGGAAGAUCGAUGGAGUUGAAUGCGACAACUCUAAGAAAGGAUUUAGUACUUUAAUUUGUCUGUGAUUGUUUUGAGUAUUAUUUAGCUUAUGCAAACUCCUUUCGCUCUCUAUUGUAUCUUUGUUGAUUCGCGACUUUUGCCUUUGCAUUAUUCUUCUUAUAAUAUAGCUAAUGACCUGAAGAUUUAGAAAUUGCCUUUCCUCUAUUCUGAUCCAUCUCUUAUUAAUAAAUUUUCUUGGCGUUAAGUGUUUAUCAUUCGGAAAAUCUACUCAAACCCUGUGUUAGAAAAAUGGUAUAAGCAUAGCUUUGUAUAGUUUUGUCAUGUAAAAUACCUCAUUUGGCCAUGUAAAGAUACAGCGGCC
RNAcentral lists this long non-coding RNA (2486 nucleotides) under Nicotiana tabacum (common tobacco). Its description in RNAcentral is "long non-coding RNA (NTAB_LNC011386)". Lineage: Eukaryota; Viridiplantae; Streptophyta; Magnoliopsida; Solanales; Solanaceae. The record is from RNAcentral.